UACGUAGGGUGCGAGCGUUGUCCGGAAUUAUUGGGCGUAAAGGGCUCGUAGGCGGUUUGUCACGUCGGGAGUGAAAACUCGGGGCUUAACCCCGAGCCUGCUUCCGAUACGGGCAGACUAGAGGUAUGCAGGGGAGAACGGAAUUCCUGGUGUAGCGGUGAAAUGCGCAGAUAUCAGGAGGAACACCGGCGGCGAAGGCGGGUCUCUGGGCAAUAACUGACGCUGAGGAGCGAAAGCGUGGGGAGCGAACAGG
This 253-nucleotide ribosomal RNA is filed under the name uncultured bacterium. RNAcentral's name for it is "partial 16S ribosomal RNA". It matches the Rfam family "Bacterial small subunit ribosomal RNA", at positions 524 to 776 of the family's 1533-position model. The record is from RNAcentral.